Molecule: ribosomal RNA, 404 nt
Filed under: uncultured bacterium
Lineage: Bacteria
Description: bacterial SSU rRNA
Rfam family: Bacterial small subunit ribosomal RNA
Source: RNAcentral
CAGGGAAUUUUGCGCAAUGGGCGAAAGCCUGACGCAGCAACGCCGCGUGAGGGAUGAAGACCUUCGGGUUGUAAACCUCUUUUGUCAGGGAAGAAUAAUGACGGUACCUGAUGAAUAAGUCACGGCUAACUACGUGCCAGCAGCCGCGGUAAUACGUAGGUGGCAAGCGUUAUCCGGAUUCAUUGGGCGUAAAGAGCGCGUAGGUGGUCCUUCAAGUCAGAUGUUAAAUCUCCCGGCUUAACUGGGAGUGGUCAUCUGAUACUGCUGGACUUGAGGAUGGUAGAGGGAGGUGGAAUUCCCGGUGUAGUGGUGAAAUGCGUAGAUAUCGGGAGGAACACCAGUGGCGAAAGCGGCCUCCUAGGCCAUUCCUGACACUGAGGCGCGAAAGCGUGGGGAGCGAACAG